RNAcentral lists this unclassified non-coding RNA (1496 nucleotides) under Venturia canescens. RNAcentral describes it as "trypsin 5G1-like, transcript variant X2". The record is from RNAcentral. Lineage: Eukaryota; Metazoa; Arthropoda; Insecta; Hymenoptera; Ichneumonidae.
UUUAUUAAAUUCUUAUCAUUUUGAAAUUCUUAAUAUUUUUAACAUGGUUUAGCAUGGCAACAUUGUAUCGUCGCGAUCCACCGUCCUUAAAUACUUCUUCGGAAAUGAAAGAAAAAAUAACAAAUUGGUACGAGAGCGCGGGAGCUGAGCUGAAAAUUGGAUGACUGUGUCAUGAAAAUAUUAUCUAAUAAAGCAAUUAUUAAGAGUGUUGACCACAUGACCAGCAUGAAUUUUGUUGUUUCACUCAAAAUACAAUUGCCAUCUUCUUUUCAACGCCUCUUCGUCAUGCUCCUAUGUUAUCAUUCAGUGACGACUUUAGAAAUUUUAUGGGUCAUAUUGAUUCAAUUGGUCUAUCAUUUUUAGCAUUUUGAGAUACAAACACUUAAUUAAUUCAACUGUCAAAUCCAUCGUUCAACCAUCUUUCUGCCAGCAUCAAUCAUAAUUGUUAAUCGUAUAUCUCGUGUAUAAAGGAAAAACUUUUUCGAUCGAAUCGGCGAAGUUCCAAAGUACAAACCAUGGUUUUCAUAAGGACCCUGUGGAUCAUUCUGAUGGUAUUUUUCGUCGCUGUUCACGGUCAACCAUCGAUAAAAUGCACCGGUGAGCCUGAGGAUGAUUGCAUCACCAAAAGUGUCCGAGAAUACUGCAACACCGUGUUGUAAUGAUCGCUGGAAAUUAAUAUGCAAUUACGAGUUGAAUUUUAUCAGCAGACGCGAGUCAUUGGAUUGAACGAAUUGAUCGGAAACCUGAAAACUUGCUAAAAAUCAUUGUUUAUGACACAUCCAACUGUUUCCAAGGCCCUCAAUUUGCGAAUGAAUCAUUAUUUUUCAACAGACGGAACGUCAAUGUCUCAUCUACAAGCUCACCUCGGGACUAGAAACAUUAUUGGACGAAGAAAUGCAGUGAACGAUGGAAACGAAUGGGGACAAAAUCAAUUAAUAUUUUGGAAAAUUUGAACGAAUGGAUCCUGGAAUAAUUAAAACUAUUUUUAAAAAAUAAAUCAAAAUUCUCGCUUGUUUCUUAUUUUAAAUUCUUCUUUCCCCUUAAACUUCGAGUUUGAAAUUAAUCUCACCCCGAUCGGUUCGAAUCCGUAUCAUAAUUGGGGCCCAGUUUUGCUCGAGUCGGCGAUUAGAAAAUUUAUAUACCCGAUGCAAUAACUGACGCAACGAUAACACAGAAAAAAAAAGAUAUGGUUUAGUCCUAUCUAUGAGCACUAUCGAUUAAUUUCGAACUGGAUAAGCUUUGACGGACUUUGAGACAUCAUAAAUCAUGUAUCACAUUGAAGUAGAGUUUAAUAAAAGUGAAAUGGUUCAUGAGUCGGUUCAUAGGACGAAACGUCGGCGACAUAAGAAAAAGCAUCGAAGACUCGAAGAGGCCGGGGUGUUGGGUUGUUUUGGAUGAGGUGUUGAAUGAUAAAAGUAGACAGUGAAAAAAAAUAGUGCGGAUGGAAAGAAAAUUAGUCUGAUAAUUACGAAAUGCAUUUUCACGUGUUUCCAAUU